This 118-nucleotide ribosomal RNA is filed under the name Petromyzon marinus (sea lamprey). Lineage: Eukaryota; Metazoa; Chordata; Hyperoartia; Petromyzontiformes; Petromyzontidae. The record is from RNAcentral.
GCCUACGACCAUAUCACCCUGAAUGCGCCCGAUCUCGUCUGAUCUCGGAAGCUAAGCAUAGCCGAGCCUGUUAGUACUUGGAUGGGAGACUGCCUGGGAAUACCAGGUGUUGUAGGCU